AAGUCCUACUGAGUCAAGGUGGGAGCAGGGUCGGUAGCUUCCGAGGCUCUGCGGGAGAAUCCGUUUCCUGGCCGUAGAGGUGGCCUGCACUCCGCAGCUUGUGCUGCCCGUCUCGAAUGACUGGAGUUUCCUGCUUCUGUCACUACACCUCCCACCCUCUCCAUCACCUGCUCUGCUCUUACAAGGAUCCGAAGAAAUGGAAUCAUCGUAUCGCUGAUCUACGUAAACAAACUGAAGAAUUGUCUGAAAGAAAAUAUGGUAUGUCUAAACUGGAAAAGUCUUGUAAUCUUAGGUUCAUGGGCGUUUACACAGUGGAGUUACUGUUCAUCAUGGGGGUACCGUGGACAAUCCCAGGGCUGCCGGCGAGUCAUGCCAUCCUUACAUGUUUCUCCUUGUAAGGUGCUUUGUAGUGUCUACACACUUUGUUUCUAGAUUGCUGCAAAGCUGAGGAAAAGUUGUAUUUCUUUAGUUAUUAGUUAGCAUUUCUUUUAAACUUUCAGUAUGGAGAUUGGAAAUUUAUUUACAUAUUUAUUGCAAAGCCCUGGAUCUUAGGAAUUUCAUUGAAUUAUUUAUUUAUUUUUUUUGAGACGGAGCCUCACUCUGUCGCCCAGGCUGGAGUGCAGUGGCACGAUCUCGGCUCACUGCAACCUCCGCCUCCCGGGUUCAAGCAGUUCUCUGCCUCAGCCUCCCGAGCAGCUAGGAUUACAGGCACCAGCCACCACGCCUGGCUGAUUUUUGUAUUUUUAGUAGAGACGGGGUUUCAUGAUCUUGGCUAGGCUGGUCUUGAACUGCUGACCUCCUGAUCCACUCACCUCAGCCUCCCAAAGUGCUGGGAUUAUAGGUGUGAGCCACCAUGCCUGGCCAAAUAUUAUUUUUUUAAAUGAAUUGUUUCUCUUAGUCUGCUUUGUUAAAUUUGGAAUUCAUCUGGGCGUGGUGGCUCACACCUGUAAUCCCAGCACUUUGGGAGGCCAAGGCAGGCAGAUAUCUAGGUCGGGAGUUCGAGACCAGCCUGACCAACAUGGAGAAACCCCGUCUCUACUAAAAAUACAAAAUUAGACGGGUGUGGUGGCGCAUGUCUGUAAUCCCAGCUAUUCGGGAGGCCAAGGCAGGAGAAUCGCUUGAACCCAGGAGGCAGAGGUUGCAGUGAGGCGAGGUUGGCACCAUUGCACUGUAGCCUGGGCAAAAAGAGCAAAACUCCAUCUCAAAAUAAAUAAAUAAAUAAAAUGUUC
This is a long non-coding RNA of Homo sapiens (human), 1229 nucleotides long. The record is from Ensembl. NCBI's taxonomy places the organism in Eukaryota, Metazoa, Chordata, Mammalia, Primates, Hominidae.